Acanthosepion pharaonis is the source of this 114-nucleotide non-coding RNA. NCBI's taxonomy places the organism in Eukaryota, Metazoa, Mollusca, Cephalopoda, Sepiida, Sepiidae. The record is from the annotation of a GenBank genome assembly.
UUACGGCCAUAUCACGUUGAAACACAGGUUCUCAUACGAUCACUGGUGUUAAGCAACGUUGAGUCUAGUCAGUACCUAGAUGGGUGACCGAUUGGGAAUAUCAGAUGUUGUAAG